GAUGAAGAACGCAGCUAAAUGCGAUAAGUAAUGUGAAUUGCAGAAUUCAGUGAAUCAUCGAAUCUUUGAACGCACAUUGCGCCCGCCAGUAUUCUGGCGGGCAUGCCUGUUCGAGCGUCAUUACAACCCUCAGGCCCCCGGGCCUGGCGUUGGGGAUCGGCGGAAGCCCCCUGCGGGCACAACGCCGUCCCCCAAAUACAGUGGCGGUCCCGCCGCAGCUUCCAUUGCGUAGUAGCUAACACCUCGCAACUGGAGAGCGGCGCGGCCACGCCGUAAAACACCCAACUUCUGAAUGUUGACCUCGAAUCAGGUAGGGAUACCCGCUGAACUUAAGCAUAUCAAUAAGCGGAGGA
This 353-nucleotide unclassified non-coding RNA is filed under the name soil metagenome. RNAcentral's name for it is "partial contains 5.8S ribosomal RNA, internal transcribed spacer 2, and large subunit ribosomal RNA". The stretch from base 1 to 120 matches the Rfam family "5.8S ribosomal RNA", at positions 35 to 154 of the family's 154-position model. The record is from RNAcentral.